This is a long non-coding RNA of Hyaena hyaena (striped hyena), 946 nucleotides long. RefSeq lists it as uncharacterized. The transcript has 3 exons. The record is from RefSeq and is a predicted model, not a curated record. Lineage: Eukaryota; Metazoa; Chordata; Mammalia; Carnivora; Hyaenidae.
CCGGGAGCGUGCGCAUGGAUGCCAGCAGACGGCGACACCCCAGGGCCGACAGAUCCCGAAGAGAGAAGGAGCCCGCAUCCCCGGACCACGUCAGCCUUGAUCCGCUAACACCUCAGGGGAGCCCAUCUCUUGUUUAAGCCAUUAAUACGCUGGUUUCUGCUCCAGAUGUGAACCUCACUAAAUUCUGUCACGGAGCAAACACAACCUGGGCUCCAGAGGCGGCGUGGGGAAGGGAAGGAUAAAGAGCCGCUGUCUCAAAAGAGUAGAGGGAAGCAACGUGAUUGGCAAGAGAGAACCGGGAUCCGCUCCCUUUCCCAGGAGACCGACGGACGGAGCUUCAGAGGGAGAAGAGAGACUGCGUUCGUCUUGAACUCGCCAUCCGCGUAGGCCUGACUCUUCUCAGGACCGGCGGGGAAGCGCAGGGCCCCUAGGACACUGCAUCACAGUCUGUUGUUGGCUCCGGACCUCAGCACUUCAAGCCACAUCAGGAGGACCACUAUAACCUGCUAGUGUAAGACUUCGUGAAUGAAUUAGCCACCUCUGCCCAAGAUGGAUCCUAACUGGAACAGCUAAACAAAAUGGCACAAGGAAGCAAUAGAAGAGCCAUUCUGAUUCCAGAGAGAAAGCAUCAGUCUGAGUUCUGACACGGAAGCCAGUCUACCCCAAAAAGACCCUUCCAUGCAUCUCAACAGCUCUAUGAGCAGUUCCCACAAUGCACCGUUGAUGCGGCCACUCAGGAACCUCUAGAGCCAAGGCCGUGAUGGGACAUGAGCUCUCUGGGAAACCCAGACCUCAUGGAAAGUUCUGCUGUAAAAGAGCUGAUACCCUGAAUGGUCAUUUUCUAAACUAAGAGGAAAUGUUUGCAGACAUCAGGCUAUCAACUUGCACAACUCGAAAAAACUCUAAUUGUUAAUACAUUCCAUUGAGAAAUACCAGAGAGAGAGAG